This 80-nucleotide ribosomal RNA is filed under the name Listeria monocytogenes. RNAcentral describes it as "partial 16S ribosomal RNA". It matches the Rfam family "Bacterial small subunit ribosomal RNA", at positions 1 to 80 of the family's 1533-position model. The record is from RNAcentral. Lineage: Bacteria; Bacillati; Bacillota; Bacilli; Caryophanales; Listeriaceae.
UUUUAAAGAGAGUUUGAUCCUGGCUCAGGACGAACGCUGGCGGCGUGCCAAUACAUGCAAGUCGAACGAACGGAGGAAGA